GUGAAUCAUCAAAUCUUUGAACGCAAAUUGCACUCUCCUGUUUUCCGGGAGCGUAUGACCGGUUGUGGGUCAGCCUAAAUAAAAUCGGCUUAGUAGUUUGCUGUGUUUUUCACGGUAACGUUGGUCGGAAUUUGGGUCACCUUAAACCGAAAGGUUUUUAAGCGAUUUAAAAUUUUCUUACGAUCUCGCGAACGUUUCUAAGAUUUUCUUGCACGUUCAAGUUAUCGAUAUUAGACUUGACCCUCGUAUCGGAUCGCGACCCUUAUAAUUUCUUUAACUGACCUCUGACAGGUAAGAGUAA
RNAcentral lists this unclassified non-coding RNA (301 nucleotides) under Glomus sp. Its description in RNAcentral is "partial internal transcribed spacer 2". The stretch from base 1 to 72 matches the Rfam family "5.8S ribosomal RNA", at positions 84 to 154 of the family's 154-position model. Lineage: Eukaryota; Fungi; Glomeromycota; Glomeromycetes; Glomerales; Glomeraceae. The record is from RNAcentral.